UAUCAUUAGUUGCCUACGCAAGAGCACUCUAAUGAGACUGCCGGUUGACAAAACGGAGGAAGGUGGGGAUGACGUCAAAUCAUCAUGCCCCUUAUGACCCGGGCUACACACGUACUACAAUGGCGUUAACAGAGGGAAGCAACAUCGCGAGGUGAAGCAAAUCUCUAAAAAACGUCCCAGUUCAGAUUGCAGGCUGCAACUCGCCUGCAUGAAGACGGAAUUGCUAGUAAUCGCAGAUCAGCAUGCUGCGGUGAAUACGUUC
RNAcentral lists this ribosomal RNA (262 nucleotides) under uncultured bacterium. RNAcentral's name for it is "partial 16S small subunit ribosomal RNA". It matches the Rfam family "Bacterial small subunit ribosomal RNA", at positions 1106 to 1373 of the family's 1533-position model. The record is from RNAcentral.